RNAcentral lists this long non-coding RNA (294 nucleotides) under Cricetulus griseus (Chinese hamster). RNAcentral's name for it is "lncRNA (ENSCGRG00000025745.1)". The record is from RNAcentral. Lineage: Eukaryota; Metazoa; Chordata; Mammalia; Rodentia; Cricetidae.
UGAAGAGUUACAGGCGCUCCGCUGGAGCUGUUGCAUUCUGGAAGUCGUAGGUAAGGCAGUCCAAGGCCUUGUGGGAGUUGUAGUCUCAGGGCAGCUUCCGCUCCAGGCUUCCGCGUGGCAGGCAGAGUGCAGAACCCAUUCCACCCAGUGUGGCUAUCCCAAGCGACCCCCUUUUCUUCCCGCGAUGCCCGCCCCAACGUGCUCCUCUUGCCACGCGGCCCGCGCUGCCCUCCGCCGCCCGCGCUCGGGGCAGGCGUUAUGCGGCUCCUGCUUCUGUGCCACCUUUGAGGCCGA